RNAcentral lists this long non-coding RNA (367 nucleotides) under Coturnix japonica (Japanese quail). Its description in RNAcentral is "lncRNA (ENSCJPG00005018165.1)". Lineage: Eukaryota; Metazoa; Chordata; Aves; Galliformes; Phasianidae. The record is from RNAcentral.
CUCAGCCAGAGUAGUGGGUCAUUUAAGUCCUUGGAUGUGUGCAGAGAUGACAAUAUUGCCUACCAGCACCUGAAUCGUUAUUUUUGUACAGCACUGCUCACCUAAUUCCUUCGCUUUGCGGUACAUUCUUUCUUGUCGUUAUGUCCAAAUUUCCCUCCCUUCCUAAGGAACUGAUCCUCCAGCAUCAAAGUCAGAGGGAGAUUUUGCUCAGGCUUCUGCAGGAACAUCGUCAAGGCCUGGAUUUUGAUUUGGAUAAACUCCACUGAGGAGGUACCAUACAUCUGCCCUUCGUACCUGCUGGCUGCUCCCUACCUGUCCCCAUACAUACAGCUGGCCACUGCCAGCUCCUAACCAACCUUUCCAGCCC